UUUUUUGGAGAGUUUGAUCCUGGCUCAGAGUUAACGCUGGCGGCGUGCCUAACACAUGCAAGUCGAGCGAAGAGUACCAGUGUAUCGGGCUCUUAGCGGCAGACGGGUGAGUAACACGUAAACAAUCUGCCCUCGAAUGGGAGACAACCUAGAGAAAUUUAGGCUAAUACCCCAUACAAUCUUCUCAAAGCAUUUUGAGGGGAUGAAAGGCCCGCAAGGGUCGUUCGAGGAGGAGUUUGCGGCCUAUCAGCUAGUUGGCGGUGUAACAGACCACCAAGGCUAUGACGGGUAGCCGAUCUAAAAGGAUGACCGGCCACAAGGGCACUGAGACACGGGCC
This 338-nucleotide ribosomal RNA is filed under the name Elusimicrobia bacterium GWA2_61_42. Its description in RNAcentral is "bacterial SSU rRNA". It matches the Rfam family "Bacterial small subunit ribosomal RNA", at positions 1 to 332 of the family's 1533-position model. The record is from RNAcentral. Lineage: Bacteria; Pseudomonadati; Elusimicrobiota.